AUCAGCAUCUGAACCAAUGCCAAUUGGUUUUAUCAGGCGGUCAUCGGGACUGGGCGUGGGGCAUCAACAUCAUCAUCGAGCGCCCGAAGUGCAAGAUAUGAAGACGCAAUAGCCGCCAUUCUACAAAAAAGUAGUUCUCGGCCAGAACGAAAAUCGAACUACAAAAGUUUGGGAAAUCAUGGUGAGUCAGCUGGAAUAACUGAGUCCCAUCGAGGCAGCUGAAGCUAUGGCUGUGUCGCAACAAGUGCUUUCGAAACAAGUGAUCCCGUCACUGCCGGGAAAAGCCACAAAUUCCCGGUCAUCAAUUUAAAGUUCCGCGGAAGGAAGUGAUAUCAUUCACAAUGCAAUGAUAAAUCCCGAUUUAUUCGAUGAAUUCGUUUAAAAUCCUUCAUAUAUAUACGUACAUAUGUGUACAUAUCUAAGAUUAAUUAAAUAAAUAAUAUAAAAUAAAACAAAAGCAAAGCAAGUUACAUUGA
This is a long non-coding RNA of Eupeodes corollae, 476 nucleotides long. RefSeq lists it as uncharacterized. The record is from RefSeq and is a predicted model, not a curated record. The transcript has 2 exons. Lineage: Eukaryota; Metazoa; Arthropoda; Insecta; Diptera; Syrphidae.